GAGGAUUUAAGAUGAGUUUGUGUCCACUGUGGUUGCUGGCCCCAUGGUCAGGCCCUCCGUCUCUCUGCUUCCCCCCUCCUCUGAGCAGCUCUCCGGGGGCUCGGCCACGCUGGCCUGCCUGCUGACCGGCUACUCUCCUCAGGGAGCCGCGGUGCGCUGGGAGGUGGACGGUACGGAGGUGACAGAGGGGGUCCUGAGCAGCUGGGAGGAGGAGAGGAGCGGACGCUACAGCAGCAGCAGCACCCUGAGCCUGAGCCGGGAGCGCUGGAUGGAAGGAGAGCUGUACACCUGCAAGGUCCUCCAUCAUGACCGCAGCCAGACCCAGUCCCUCCACAGGAGCCAGUGUGAGGCCUAGAGGGGCCGACUGAAGCCCAGGACAGGAGCUGUGUGUGUGUGUGUGUCCCACUUCUAAUAUUGAUCUUCUGCAUAUUCUUCUUCAUGUUCUUUACUUUUCAAAUUCUGCUGAAUAUUAUCAGUUUAAGUCCAAGAUAAAUGUUUCAUUCAACAGAAAUGUGGCAUAAAGAUUUAAACAAUGUCUUAAUAAAACUGUGGAUUAUGAUA
This is a non-coding RNA of Acanthopagrus latus (yellowfin seabream), 561 nucleotides long. Lineage: Eukaryota; Metazoa; Chordata; Actinopteri; Spariformes; Sparidae. The record is from the annotation of a RefSeq genome assembly.